This is a long non-coding RNA of Papaver somniferum (opium poppy), 854 nucleotides long. RefSeq lists it as uncharacterized. The record is from RefSeq and is a predicted model, not a curated record. The transcript has 4 exons. NCBI's taxonomy places the organism in Eukaryota, Viridiplantae, Streptophyta, Magnoliopsida, Ranunculales, Papaveraceae.
AUUCGCUUGUAUGGAGAUGACCCUCGCCUCGGCCUUAUCACCCAGAUCAUUCGGCUUUCAUACUUCUUUUAUCAAAAACAUUGAAAACCCUAGCUAAUUAGCUAUAGUUCCUUUUGCAGAUGAUGAGGUAAUGGAGGUAGACGAUGUUCUUCUCGAUCUUGUUACCAACAAUUUAUAUUCAAUAACAUAUAGAGAAUGAGAAAUCAUGUGUAUGGCACGCUACUGAUUACUCUGAUGGUGAAUUGAAAGAACAGUUGUUUUGUGUUCGAUUUGCAUCCACCGAGAUACCUGAAUACUACCUAAGGUUGCGCAUCAAAGUUUGGGGUACUGUUACAUUCUUUGGUGCCGGUGUAUCUUAUUUGCAAACAAAGCUAGAUGCAGGAAGACAUGAUCAUACCUCCACUAGCUCUUGUCUGCAGGUUUGAUGUUUGUUGGGGGUGUUUUAAACUAAAUUGGCAAUCUUCUUACACGGGAUACUGGGAUUACUCGACAUCUCCCUUACGUAUUGCUUUGUGAGGAACUGAAGGGAGCUGUUGCAAGUACUUUUGUUGCUUUUACCACGCCACCCAGCAAUGCCGAAUAUAACUGCCUCGUUAAUGAAAUAAUGGAUCCAAGUGGGAUGUUAUACGAUGUAUAUGGAGUACUUUGGAGAUGUUUCACUAGGUCGAUUAGAUGGCCAAAAACUUCUGUAAUCCUAUAGGAGAGACCUAGCUAGAUUGAAUGCUUCAGUUCAAAUUUUUAAGUGUGAUUUUGAGUUGUAAAUGCAAAAUGAAUUUAUCCUUUUUUUGGUUGUAAUGUAACACUGGAUUAUCUUUUAAAUGCAAUGUAUAUCUGAUUUCAGAUUCAGUUCCAGA